Molecule: ribosomal RNA, 275 nt
Filed under: uncultured Nocardioides sp.
Lineage: Bacteria; Bacillati; Actinomycetota; Actinomycetes; Propionibacteriales; Nocardioidaceae
Description: partial 16S ribosomal RNA
Rfam family: Bacterial small subunit ribosomal RNA
Source: RNAcentral
CCUACGGGUGGCUGCAGUGGGGAAUAUUGGACAAUGGGCGGAAGCCUGAUCCAGCAACGCCGCGUGAGGGAUGACGGCCUUCGGGUUGUAAACCUCUUUCAGCACAGACGAAGCGCAAGUGACGGUAUGUGCAGAAGAAGGACCGGCCAACUACGUGCCAGCAGCCGCGGUAAUACGUAGGGUCCGAGCGUUGUCCGGAAUUAUUGGGCGUAAAGGGCUCGUAGGCGGUUUGUCGCGUCGGGAGUGAAAACACCGGGCUUAACUCGGUGCUUGCU